RNAcentral lists this ribosomal RNA (497 nucleotides) under uncultured bacterium. RNAcentral describes it as "partial 16S ribosomal RNA". It matches the Rfam family "Bacterial small subunit ribosomal RNA", at positions 28 to 507 of the family's 1533-position model. The record is from RNAcentral.
GAUGAACGCUGGCGGCGUGCCUAAUACAUGCAAGUCGAGCGAACAGAUGAGGAGCUUGCUCCUCUGACGUUAGCGGCGGACGGGUGAGUAACACGUGGAUAACCUACCUAUAAGACUGGGAUAACUUCGGGAAACCGGAGCUAAUACCGGAUAAUAUAUUGAACCGCAUGGUUCAAUAGUGAAAGACGGUUUUGCUGUCACUUAUAGAUGGAUCCGCGCCGCAUUAGCUAGUUGGUAAGGUAACGGCUUACCAAGGCAACGAUGCGUAGCCGACCUGAGAGGGUGAUCGGCCACACUGGAACUGAGACACGGUCCAGACUCCUACGGGAGGCAGCAGUAGGGAAUCUUCCGCAAUGGGCGAAAGCUUGACGGAGCAACGCCGCGUGAGUGAUGAAGGUCUUCGGAUCGUAAAACUCUGUUAUUAGGGAAGAACAAAUGUGUAAGUAACUAUGCACGUCUUGACGGUACCUAAUCAGAAAGCCACGGCUAGCUACGUG